CCAGGAGCUUGCUCCUGGGUGAGAGUGGCGAACGGGUGAGUAAUGCGUGACCGACCUGCCCCAUACACCGGAAUAGCUCCUGGAAACGGGUGGUAAUGCCGGAUGCUCCAGUUGGAUGCAUGUCCUUCUGGGAAAGAUUCAUCGGUAUGGGAUGGGGUCGCGUCCUAUCAGCUUGAUGGCGGGGUAACGGCCCACCAUGGCUUCGACGGGUAGCCGGCCUGAGAGGGCGACCGGCCACAUUGGGACUGAGAUACGGCCCAGACUCCUACGGGAGGCAGCAGUGGGGAAUAUUGCACAAUGGGCGCAAGCCUGAUGCAGCGACGCCGCGUGCGGGAUGACGGCCUUCGGGUUGUAAACCGCUUUUGACUGGGAGCAAGCCCUUCGGGGUGAGUGUACCUUUCGAAUAAGCACCGGCUAACUACGUGCCAGCAGCCGCGGUAAUACGUAGGGUGCAAGCGUUAUCCGGAAUUAUUGGGCGUAAAGGGCUCGUAGGCGGUUCGUCGCGUCCGGUGUGAAAGUCCAUCGCUUAACGGUGGAUCCGCGCCGGGUACGGGCGGGCUUGAGUGCGGUAGGGGAGACUGGAAUUCCCGGUGUAACGGUGGAAUGUGUAGAUAUCGGGAAGAACACCAAUGGCGAAGGCAGGUCUCUGGGCCGUCACUGACGCUGANGAGCGAAAGCGUGGGGAGCGAACAGGAUUAGAUACCCUGGUAGUCCACGCCGUAAACGGUGGAUGCUGGAUGUGGGGACCAUUCCACGGUCUCCGUGUCGGANCCNACGCGUUAAGCAUCCCGCCUGGGGAGUACGGCCGCAAGGCUAAAACUCAAAGAAAUUGACGGGGGCCCGCACAAGCGGCGGA
RNAcentral lists this ribosomal RNA (856 nucleotides) under Bifidobacterium adolescentis. RNAcentral describes it as "bacterial SSU rRNA". It matches the Rfam family "Bacterial small subunit ribosomal RNA", at positions 72 to 936 of the family's 1533-position model. Lineage: Bacteria; Bacillati; Actinomycetota; Actinomycetes; Bifidobacteriales; Bifidobacteriaceae. The record is from RNAcentral.